UUGAAAAUUCAAUAUCUUGCCACAAAUUUGAAGGUAGAAUCAGACCCCACACCACAUUGUCACUCCUUACCCUCCUCUUCUUCUCCACCGCAACAACAGCGACGUUACCGCCGCACCGUCAUCUCAAAUCCUUAUCACAUGCCUUGCCUCAACUGGCGACUCCAACUCAUCAUGUCGACAACCACACCGGUGCCUCAGCCCUUCUUUUCUUCUCGAUUUUCGCUAUCGGGUAUCUAUCUAACUAGUUCGCCGAAUCAUUAUCGGUGCAGCAGUAGUUUGUAGGUGGUUAGGUGGUUAGAGCCAUUUGAAAACCAUCUAGAAUAGAGAUGAUGAAUGAUCAGCCACAACAACAACCAGUAUCAAUACAAGUACCAGUACCGAGGAAAAAAAGAACAUCCAUACGUCUAAUGGAUAUAACAGAGCCACAAGAAGUUGAAUUUAACGGUCUUCGUCAGCAUUGUGGCCAUUUUCAGCUCCACCGCAUGCUUCCUUCUUCUUCUCCCCACGUUGACAGUGGGUUUAUCGAUUUCGCAGCCUCCCUUCCAAGAGUGUUUCAGUUAUGGAACUUCUCCCACACGAUCUUCAUCUCUUCUUCUCAACUGCAACAACAGUUCCUAUUGGUUUUCAUUCGAGCUCCUCCGUCUCCUCUUCUUCAACCUCUCCAUCUGUUAUAUAUUGCAUUCACCACCUCCAAAGCAAAUUUCAGUUCUUUUCUACAUAAUUUUCCUCUGCAUCGGUUGAUUAUUGACCCUUUUUUUCCAUUAAGAAGAUACUAGGAUCGAUGAUUUCACAUCGGAAUUUGGCUUCAACUUCACCCGACAAAUCGGGGUCGAUACAAAGUGAGUUUCAUCUGGAACUCAUUUAUUUCUCACGUGUUAAGGAACCAAAUUGAAGAACUUUUCCUUCCAAAUCACAUUUAUUUCCUUCUUCCGGAUCUCACAAGUAAUUGAAAUCUCUUUCUUUUGCGAAUUUCUCCCCUUUGGUGUUUCUGCCCAUGGAAACCAACAAUUCGCCCAGUUAUCAUCGUGUACCUGUUGUAUUUCUCAUGGAAAAAGGUCGGUUAAGGAAAAAAUAUCUAGACUUUCCUGAAACCCACUCUGCAGUUAAUCAGAUAUUGAUACAAUUAUUUGGGAGGAUAAUUACCACUAAUUCCUAAGAUUAUGUUGUUCAUUCCUAUUUAUUCAUCCGACAACACACACACACACAAAGCAUACACAUAAAAAAUCAAGAGAAGGAAGCUAGAAGCUGCUUGACAAUCAAAAGAUCACAUACCAAUGGGAUGGAAACUGUUAACUACAGCACAUGUGUUCUUCUUUAUUAAGUCCAAGUGACGUAAAUUUAAAAGUCAUAGCAAAUGAAGCAGCUGGUUGGAAACAUAGUUGACAUCGCAAAAGGGCUCAGAACAAAAUUUGAUGAAGACCAACACCAACCUAGAAAUCAAAAUGACGGGGGAAAGGGCCAUGAUAAGAGGCCAGAGAUAGUAAACAUCAAUGGGCCUCGCCCAUGCAGCAAUUGUCAUGGCCAACAAGCCAGUGUGACGGUAUACAAUCAAAACAUGCUUAACAUAGCCUUUUUUUCAGCACAAGAGAUGCGUCGGCGAUUGUCGUAGCAACAAGGCCAGAUAAUGAAUGCAGUACCCAACAAGAAACAAAGCAGGAAAUCAGAUCGUGUCAAAGUGAAAGUUUUCAAAAAGUGGAGAAUCGACAAAGGAAAUCAACGGCGAAGCAAAAAUCGCAACAUCCCAGUCACGGAAAGGGCACAGAGAUGCAUUCAGACCACUCGCAACAUCCCAGUCACAGAAAGAAGCAAACACUGAUCCGAAGAUAGUUCAGCCAGACCCUAGAGCAAAAUCGCAAGACAUGGGAAUGCCUAUUUGUGGGCAGGAGCACCAGUCCAGCCUGAAAUCAGUGGCCAAGCCACACCCAAAUGAACAAUGAUUCGAGACUCGAAUCACCUCUUCACCGGUCUUGAAGAUGAACAAAACCCCUUUGGGGUGAAGAAUCCAGGCACUGGUAAAAACACAGAUAGUAACGGAGCAUCAAUCACUCUAGCAUGCAAGCUCCACUAUAGAGGGGAUCCAAGUAGGGUCACUAAUGAUAACAACAAAACCCCAAAUAACCAUGUGAAACGGAAGAUUAAUUGGCACGCGCAGAAAAUGGCAAGCGACAUUCUCACCCAGUCAAGGGGAGGCACACCCUAAGGUCACAACACAUAUUGGGCCAAGGGAAAGGGGAAGUGCGAGCACCAACAGAGCAUGGAAGAUGAAAUUCGGCUCUUUCAUACCUAGUUGAAAAUCAGAGAGGUAGACGCUGCCCAUGUUAAAGAAAAGAAACAACAGAAAUAUCACACCGGUUUCAAAAACACAACAUUCAACAGGACAGGUUGCACCCUAGACUCCCCAGAUAGUUCGACAGGCAGUGAUGGAAGAAAUUCACUCCAUGACCCGAUAGUGGAAAUAAAAAGGAACCCCAAGUUAGCAAGAAACACUUGGAGGAAAUGAGAAAAGGAAACAUGUCUAUGACGAGGCAGCCACAGCAGAGCGCCCAAACAAAAAUAAAACAAAGGCUGAGAAAAGGGAGUAUGGCCAAACUCUGCAUAGGAUAACUAUACUCCAAGUGCCAGCGCGAAGACUAGGUCCGCGCCCUCGCACUUAGUCAUUUAGAGUCUAAUGUUUCAUGUUUUUCCUUUUUAAAGUGAAUAUAAUUUUUGCUUUGAAAGAGCUUUCCAUAAUUCUAUUUAACCAAUUGCAUAAACACAAAGUGAAGAGGUCGUGUAUAUUUUCCAAGUAACAACAAGGGCUGAUCACCUACGCUACUUGAGCAAAAUCUAUACCAGGAUGUAACCAUAGGCCUCAAAGAAUCAUAAUAUUUGCCUAAAACUUGUCAAUAACAUCUCAGAGCUGAGAAUGUACAAACUUUAAUUAAUGGCAUGAAAAAAAGGGGUCCUAAAAAGAUUCAUAACCUUUCCCCUGAAAAUCAGAUAGUAAAAGGUCUUGAGGUGACGAUCUCUGCCAAAACGCAGGUAGCUAAACCUUAAAGUAUAUAGCAAAGAACAUAGACUAUCAUUUCACGAAUUAACAUAAGAAACCCGACUAAACAUACAGUUCAAUGGCUAUCGAAAGCAUAUAAGCCAACUGUAGCGGUUACACGACGUCAAAAAUGCACACUAGCUAAUUAAUGCGAACCCUAGAACAAGGGAAUAUGUAGCAAAGAAUUACAGUAGAAAUGUCAAAUAAUCCUAGUCUAAGGAUAUCACUGGUCAAUGCAAAAUACAGAAAAAGCAUUCAUAUACCAAGUACAAAGCACAAAGUACACAGUUCAAGUCGAUCUGCUUGGUCAACCUCCUGGUGACAAAGCUUACCCCGAUAAUGGCCACACAAGGCCAUCUCCAAGCAAAUCUUGGCGUCGACACCUACAAACACAAACACCAAGCAUGAGAAUUGACAGCCCAAUAAAAUACUUUGUUCUUAUUCUUGUAAAAAGGGGGGAGGGAGAUGAGCGAAUACCAUCUCUCACGACGAAUAAUUGUGCCAUCUUCCCAAGAUCCCUCCAGGCAAUACUCAUGUUAGCUGCGGCAAGGAUCAAAUCUUUCCAGUUCUCCUUGACGACAGUAAUGUUUCCCAGCUGUUUGCCAAGAACUAGUUUAUUCCCAAAUAGUUUGGGAAGACGGUCGGGAAAGUCUCGGGUCUUACGAAACCCAUGCCCCACAAGGUUUCAGUUGACCCAAAGCCAUUGUCUCUUCCAAUUUUUCUUCGAAUUAUCUUGCUCAGAGAUCAACUGAAGAAUGCCUCACCUUUUCGCCAAUGUGCUGAUGCUAGAGUUUGUAGACGCACAAAAGAAGUAACUGAAGGCCCAACAAGUAGGUAUACAGCCCAGGGAACAACAGAUCAGUUCGAAGCCCACAAUCUUAUUGACGGCACUUAGUGUUAAUUCGUCAACAGAAGAGUUGUAGUGGUGUUGUAACACCCUGUUCCUGGUACACAAAUUAAAUCAUUUAAGUAUUUACUUUUGAGCUACUCGAUGAGUUGGUAGCCCUAACUCGUCGAGUAGAUGCCAGAAAGGAUGUUGGGUUUAAAAGGUCUACUCGGCGAGUCCAAGAAUAGACUCGACGAGUAGGUCUGCCAGGAGGAAAUCCUAUUUUCGAGGUUUUGCACCCUAUUUAAGCCACUUAAUCCCCAUUGGGCCUCCCUUACCAACCUCGAUGUUCCCCCCAAAACCCUGAUUCGUUGUGAGUUCCAUUGUUGAGAGAUUAUUGAGAUUUUGAGUGUGUUUUGUGAUAUAGAAGAGACUUGGAAGAUCUUGGAGUUAUCAAGCUUGUGGAAGAAGAUCAAGAUCCAAGAUUCCAUCCAUCUUUGGCAGCCUUUAGAGGUAAAAGGUUCUCAACUUGUCAAUCCAUAGCUUAGAUCUCCUUAGUGUUGAUUUAUGGGUCUUUUGACCCCUUUGAGUAGGAUAAGUUGUUUCUCUUGGGUUGUAUACUAAGCAAUCCCACUUCUCUAUGAUAUUUAGCCUCUAGAACCAUAAAAGAGGUCUUGAAAUCAUUUUUAUCCAAACCAUAGUCAUGUUCAUGAAAGUAGGAUGCUAUAACUUGAGUUUGGGUCCAAUUAAGGUGUGCAAAGCCAUCAAGUCUCCAACUUUAUAGAAAUGGACCAUGGAAAUGACCUGGAUCUAUAUUUUGGAGCUGUAGAAGGGUGAAACCAAUGUCUAGUUUAGAUCUACAAGGGACUCGGCGAGUUCAUAUGGGAACUCGACGAGUCCGAUAAAGGAACCCCGAUGAUGUUCAUAAGACUCGGCGAGAUGUUAAGGAACUCGACGAGUUGGAUGAGUUUGCCCUUUUCUGAUUAUGUCAGGACUCGGUGAGCCUGAGGACGGCUCGACGAGUUGGUUCGUCCAGACGCGUUGAUGGGUAGCGUGGGAACUCGACGAGUCAUAUGGUGACUCGGCGAGUCGAGUCGUGAUUUUAGGGUUCUUAGUUCUAGAACUCAAGGAGUCGAUAGGCCGACUCGGCGAGUUAGGUCAACCUGAAAGAUUGACUUUGACUGAGACAUUGACUUUGACUAGGGAUAAAUGGUCAUUUUACCCCAAGUAGGAUUAUCAGAUUGUGACUAAGUGUUAUUAUGGAUUUGAUAGCCGGAGAGUCGUCGGAGCAGCGGACAGGGAGUCCUCACUUGAGUUUUCAGCAUUCAGUUUUGCGAGGUGAGUUUCCCUUUAGUAGGAACGAAUCUAAGGCACCAAGGCCGGCCCGUAGCAUGAUAUGUUAGUAGCUGAGUGUGGGCGAGGCCCAUAUCUCAUAGUAGCCGAGUGUGGGCGUGGCCCGUAUCUCAUAGUUUAGUUUGAUUAUGGAUAUAUGCCUGAUUUAUAAAAUUAGUUAUACUUGUUGUCUGUGUGGUACUUGUAUGUUGUUCGUAGCUGAGUGUGGGCGGGGCCUGUAUCUCAUAGCAGCUGAGUGUGGGCGGGGCCCGUAUCUCAUAGCAGCCGAGUGUGGGUGGGGCUCGUAUCUCAAUGUAGCUGAGGGUGGGUGGGUCUCGUAUUACAGAGCCAGCAGAGUGUGGGCAGGGAUGUAUCUCCUAGUUAACGGAGUGUGGGCAUGGCCCGUAUCUCCAUGAGUGUGGGCGGGGCCCGUAUCUCUUAGCUGCAUGUUAUAUGUGUAUGGUAUGUGGUAGUUUGGAGGAGCUCACUAAGCUUCGUUCUUACGGUUUUAGUUUUGGUUUCAGGUACUUCCACUAGCAAAGGGAAUGGCUCGGGAUAAUCGCAUGGCACACACCACAGUCUUCAGCCUGGGAGUUUUACUCUGAUGUUUUGUUAUGAGAUUUUUGUUAUGUGACAGAUUUUAUGAUAUUUUGCAAUACAUGACUCACGGUUUUAUUUAUAAUAUUGUAUGGUUUAUGAUUUUAAUAAUGAUUUGAAAACGAAAUUUUUGGGUUGUAUUUGGUGAUGUUUCAGGUGCACAAUCAUAUCAAAGAAGUCAGACGUUGGUAGGCGUAACCCCGCUUCGAACAGAGGGACAUGAACCCCCACUUCCCUCGAGGUCUGUCAUAGAUCGAUGAUCCCUUCGCUGGAAUCAUCACGUCAUGCUCUGACAAGAAACCAAAUUGUUCUUGCAAUAGUCGGAAUUUCUCUACAGUAGGGACUCUGCCAUAACGAUCCAUCGUUAAGAACAGAUGAAUUAUGAAAAAGAAAAAAUCACAAAAUGCCUGAGUCGCUACAACAAAAGCAAGAAAAUAAGGAAAAGGUGAAAGGUCUUUAGUAAAGGGGAUUUUAAAGGUAAAACUGGUGUCACGAACCGUCUCAUGAUGGAUCUGACACAUAUCGACAACACUGUCUAAGUCUGUUGAAUGCCAAAAAUAAUCGCACACAUACACAUGUUGUAAUGUUGGCUCAAACGGCGACGCUACCAGGCUAACGCAUACGCCUACAAGCCUAAGGGACUUGUUAACGUAUCCCUCAGAAAAAUGUUAAAGAAGAAAAGUCAAACUAGCGCCAAGCUUCGCCUAGUUAGAGUCUGGUUAUACUCAGUCAGAGGCCAAGGUCGGGCCUCCGCCUACAUGGACUCACUUGUAUGGCGAUUAAGGGGCAAAACUGCACCUUACCCUCUUCUCCCCAGGAGAAAUACCCUGGAAAACGUGGAUCCAAUCAGAGAGCUCCACUUGCCUAUCUGACGAUAGCCAUAAUCAUCAUUAUAUUGAAGAUUCCCCUCUAUCCAAUGGGGGAACGAGAUAGAAAGACGUGAUGGAGGAUCCUUCAAUACGGAUCCGCCACAUCUCGUCUCACAAAGGAAGGCUCAACAAAUCAGUUAGGAGGCACGUGCCUCUCGAUCAGGUAUUAAAGAACCCACUUCCCUACGGAGAAGGGGACUGGACUCUUUUUCUCUCAUACAUUCUCUAUCUUCUCUCCGGAUCAAUUCUAACUUGAUCGUUGGAGCUUCGUCCUGGGAACCACUCCUGGACGUUGUCAAACGAUCAUCUCUUUUUUUUAUACUGUGAUAUCAGGAGAAGGAACUAGCUCAACACCCACCCUUGAUCUCAAUCCUACCAUCUC
Lactuca sativa (garden lettuce) is the source of this 7034-nucleotide non-coding RNA. NCBI's taxonomy places the organism in Eukaryota, Viridiplantae, Streptophyta, Magnoliopsida, Asterales, Asteraceae. The record is from RefSeq and is a predicted model, not a curated record.